RNAcentral lists this ribosomal RNA (1369 nucleotides) under uncultured bacterium. RNAcentral describes it as "bacterial SSU rRNA". It matches the Rfam family "Bacterial small subunit ribosomal RNA", at positions 28 to 1381 of the family's 1533-position model. The record is from RNAcentral.
GACGAACGCUGGCGGCGUGCCUAAUACAUGCAAGUAGAACGCUGAAGAGAGGAGCUUGCUCUUCUUGGAUGAGUUGCGAACGGGUGAGUAACGCGUAGGUAACCUGCCUUGUAGCGGGGGAUAACUAUUGGAAACGAUAGCUAAUACCGCAUAACAAUGGAUGACACAUGUCAUUUAUUUGAAAGGGGCAAUUGCUCCACUACAAGAUGGACCUGCGUUGUAUUAGCUAGUAGGUGAGGUAACGGCUCACCUUGGCGACGAUACAUAGCCGACCUGAGAGGGUGAUCGGCCACACUGGGACUGAGACACGGCCCAGACUCCUACGGGAGGCAGCAGUAGGGAAUCUUCGGCAAUGGGGGCAACCCUGACCGAGCAACGCCGCGUGAGUGAAGAAGGUUUUCGGAUCGUAAAGCUCUGUUGUAAGUCAAGAACGAGUGUGAGAGUGGAAAGUUCACACUGUGACGGUAGCUUACCAGAAAGGGACGGCUAACUACGUGCCAGCAGCCGCGGUAAUACGUAGGUCCCGAGCGUUGUCCGGAUUUAUUGGGCGUAAAGCGAGCGCAGGCGGUUUGAUAAGUCUGAAGUUAAAGGCUGUGGCUCAACCAUAGUUCGCUUUGGAAACUGUCAAACUUGAGUGCAGAAGGGGAGAGUGGAAUUCCAUGUGUAGCGGUGAAAUGCGUAGAUAUAUGGAGGAACACCGGUGGCGAAAGCGGCUCUCUGGUCUGUAACUGACGCUGAGGCUCGAAAGCGUGGGGAGCGAACAGGAUUAGAUACCCUGGUAGUCCACGCCGUAAACGAUGAGUGCUAGGUGUUGGAUCCUUUCCGGGAUUCAGUGCCGCAGCUAACGCAUUAAGCACUCCGCCUGGGGAGUACGACCGCAAGGUUGAAACUCAAAGGAAUUGACGGGGGCCCGCACAAGCGGUGGAGCAUGUGGUUUAAUUCGAAGCAACGCGAAGAACCUUACCAGGUCUUGACAUCCCGAUGCUAUUUCUAGAGAUAGAAAGUUACUUCGGUACAUCGGUGACAGGUGGUGCAUGGUUGUCGUCAGCUCGUGUCGUGAGAUGUUGGGUUAAGUCCCGCAACGAGCGCAACCCCUGUUGUUAGUUGCCAUCAUUCAGUUGGGCACUCUAGCGAGACUGCCGGUAAUAAACCGGAGGAAGGUGGGGAUGACGUCAAAUCAUCAUGCCCCUUAUGACCUGGGCUACACACGUGCUACAAUGGUUGGUACAACGAGUUGCGAGUCGGUGACGGCAAGCUAAUCUCUUAAAGCCAAUCUCAGUUCGGAUUGUAGGCUGCAACUCGCCUACAUGAAGUCGGAAUCGCUAGUAAUCGCGGAUCAGCACGCCGCGGUGAAUACGUUCCCGGGCCU